RNAcentral lists this ribosomal RNA (657 nucleotides) under Salmonella enterica subsp. enterica serovar Poona. Its description in RNAcentral is "partial 23S ribosomal RNA". It matches the Rfam family "Bacterial large subunit ribosomal RNA", at positions 2259 to 2910 of the family's 2925-position model. The record is from RNAcentral. Lineage: Bacteria; Pseudomonadati; Pseudomonadota; Gammaproteobacteria; Enterobacterales; Enterobacteriaceae.
UGGUGGGUAGUUUGACUGGGGCGGUCUCCUCCUAAAGAGUAACGGAGGAGCACGAAGGUUGGCUAAUCCUGGUCGGACAUCAGGAGGUUAGUGCAAUGGCAUAAGCCAGCUUGACUGCGAGCGUGACGGCGCGAGCAGGUGCGAAAGCAGGUCAUAGUGAUCCGGUGGUUCUGAAUGGAAGGGCCAUCGCUCAACGGAUAAAAGGUACUCCGGGGAUAACAGGCUGAUACCGCCCAAGAGUUCAUAUCGACGGCGGUGUUUGGCACCUCGAUGUCGGCUCAUCACAUCCUGGGGCUGAAGUAGGUCCCAAGGGUAUGGCUGUUCGCCAUUUAAAGUGGUACGCGAGCUGGGUUUAGAACGUCGUGAGACAGUUCGGUCCCUAUCUGCCGUGGGCGCUGGAGAACUGAGGGGGGCUGCUCCUAGUACGAGAGGACCGGAGUGGACGCAUCACUGGUGUUCGGGUUGUCAUGCCAAUGGCACUGCCCGGUAGCUAAAUGCGGAAGAGAUAAGUGCUGAAAGCAUCUAAGCACGAAACUUGCCCCGAGAUGAGUUCUCCCUGAGACUUAAAGUCUCCUGAAGGAACGUUGAAGACGACGACGUUGAUAGGCCGGGUGUGUAAGCGCAGCGAUGCGUUGAGCUAACCGGUACUAAUGAACC